AGUGAACGCUGGCGGUAGGCCUAACACAUGCAAGUCGAACGGCAGCACAGUAAGAGCUUGCUCUUACGGGUGGCGAGUGGCGGACGGGUGAGGAAUACAUCGGAAUCUACUUUUUCGUGGGGGAUAACGUAGGGAAACUUACGCUAAUACCGCAUACGACCUACGGGUGAAAGCAGGGGAUCUUCGGACCUUGCGCGAUUGAAUGAGCCGAUGUCGGAUUAGCUAGUUGGCGGGGUAAAGGCCCACCAAGGCGACGAUCCGUAGCUGGUCUGAGAGGAUGAUCAGCCACACUGGAACUGAGACACGGUCCAGACUCCUACGGGAGGCAGCAGUGGGGAAUAGUGGACAAUGGGCGCAAGCCUGAUCCAGCCAUACCGCGUGGGUGAAGAAGGCCUUCGGGUUGUAAAGCCCUUUUGUUGGGAAAGAAAAGCAGCAGGUUAAUACCCCGCUGUUCUGACGGUACCCAAAGAACAAGCACCGGCUAACUUCGUG
This 492-nucleotide ribosomal RNA is filed under the name uncultured bacterium. Its description in RNAcentral is "partial 16S ribosomal RNA". It matches the Rfam family "Bacterial small subunit ribosomal RNA", at positions 29 to 507 of the family's 1533-position model. The record is from RNAcentral.